RNAcentral lists this long non-coding RNA (1446 nucleotides) under Cyanistes caeruleus (blue tit). RNAcentral describes it as "lncRNA (ENSCCEG00000006664.1)". The record is from RNAcentral. Lineage: Eukaryota; Metazoa; Chordata; Aves; Passeriformes; Paridae.
UUCCUUUUCCUUUUCCUUUUCCUUUUCCUUUUCCUUUUCCUUUUCCUUUUCCUUUUCCUUUUCCUUUUCCUUUUCCUUUUUUUCCCCUUUUUUCCCCUUUUUUCCCCUUUUUUUUCCCCUUUUUCCCCUUUCCUGUUCCUUUUCCCUGACACUGGAAUAUUUCCCACCUUUCCCAGAGCUCUGAUCCCUUCCAGAGCCACACCUGGAAUCUCCCAGACCCCUCCAGGUGUAUCCCAAACCCCUCCAGGUGUAUCCCAGACCCCUCCAGGUGUAUCCCAGACCCCUCCAGGUGUAUCCCAAACCCCUCCAGGUGUAUCUGAUCCCCUCCAGGUGUAUCCCAGACCCCUCCAGGUGUAUCUGAUCCCCUCCAGGUGUAUCCCAGACCCCUCCAGGUGUAUCCCAGACCCCUCCAGGUGUAUCCCACACCCCUCCAGGUGUAUCUGAUCCCCUCCAGGUGUAUCUGAUCCCCUCCAGGUGUAUCCCAAACCCCUCCAGGUGUAUCCCAAACCCCUCCAGGUGUAUCCCAGACCCCUCCAGGUGUAUCCCAGACCCCUCCAGGUGUAUCUGAUCCCCUCCAGGUGUAUCCCAGACCCCUCCAGGUGUAUCCCAAACCUCUCCAGGUGUAUCCCAGACCCCUCCAGGUGUAUCCCAGACCCCUCCAGGUGUAUCCCAAACCCCUCCAGGUGUAUCCCACACCCCUCCAGGUGUAUCCCAGACCCCUCCAGGUGUAUCUGAUCCCCUCCAGGUGUAUCCCAGACCCCUCCAGGUGUAUCUCAAACCCCUCCAGGUGUAUCCCCGACCUUUCCAGGUGUAUCCCAGACCCCUCCAGGUGUAUCUGAUCCCCUCCAGGUGUAUCUGAUCCCCUCCAGGUGUAUCCCAGACCUUUUCAGGUGUAUCUCAAACCCCUCUCCUCUCCCACAGGAGAAAUUCUCUGACUUCAACACCGGCAUCCGCUCCCCUCCCAAGCAGAUGGUUUGGUGCACGCGGCCCCGGAGCCGGCACCGUGCCGUGGUGCUGGCCUGGGAGCGGCAGCUGAUGGUGGUGGGAAAUUCCUCGGAGAGCAUCCGGUAUCCUUCGGGAGCGGGGAGCGCUCCUGGCGCUGCUGCCACCCCCGGGGAUCAUCCCAGGAAUUCCCUGUCCCCAGGGAACAUCCCAGGAAUUCCCUGUCCCCAGGGAUCCUCCCAGGAAUUCCCUGUCCCCAGGGAUCCUCCCAGGAAUUCCCUGUCCCCAGGGAUCCUCCCAGGAAUUCCCUGUCCCCAGAGAUGCUCCAAGGUCCUUUCCCUGUCCCCAGGGGUGAUCCCAGGAAUUCCCUGUCCCCAGGGAUGCUCCCAGCUCCUUUCCCUGUCCCCAGGGAUGUUCCCAGACCCUUCCCCGUGUCCCAGCCCUUCCCCAUUCCCGGGAUUUCCCUCGCUGGGCGCUGCCAUGGCUCCUUAGCCGGAUCCCAGC